Non-coding RNA from Mesoplodon densirostris (Blainville's beaked whale), 462 nucleotides. The record is from the annotation of a RefSeq genome assembly. Lineage: Eukaryota; Metazoa; Chordata; Mammalia; Artiodactyla; Ziphiidae.
AUGACCUGGGUGCCCUUCUACCUCCUGCCCCUCCUGUUCAACGCAGGUCUCUGUGCUGUGCCUGUGCUGAACCAGACCCCGUCUGCAUCUUCUCCCCUUGGAAGCUCGGCCAAGCUCACCAGCACCCUGAGCAGUGAACACACCACGUACUACAUUGCGUGGUAUCAACAGAGAGUAGGGCAGGCCCCUAGGUAUCUGAUGAAGCUGACCAGUGACGGAAGCGUCACCAAGGGGGAUUGGAUCCCCGACUGCUUCUCAGUCUCCAGCUCUGGGGCUGACCGCUACCUGACCAUCGCCAACAUCCAGUCUGUGGACGAGACUGAGUAUAUCUGUGGUGUCAACUAUAAAUCUGGUGGCCAAUAUGGAUACCACAGUGACACAGACAAAGAGGAAGACGUUCUAGGGACCGGCCAGCACAAUGUCCGCUGGGACAGCAGCAGGGAUGGGGAAUGGGGAUGCUGA